UGGGUGAUUGGCUCUAUUACUAUUAUUGUUUGAGAAUUAAAUCUUGUAAUUGAUAAUAUAAUACCUUUUAUCUUUUGAAAUAGGAUAAAACAAAUUUCUGAAAGUUGAAUUAUCUUCAUGAAGAUUAAUAGCUUAGAGCCUCUUUAAGGAAAUUAAACUGAUGAUUACAUAGAAUACGUUGUUUGAUUUGGGAAGUCCAUAUUACCUCUUUGUUCUUCGAUAUAGAAAUAUUACAUCUUACAUACCUUCAAAGAAAAAUAUAAGCCUUGAUAAUUUCAUAGUCUAUAAUAUAAAAUGCUUAACUAAGCUUUGUUCUUAUCAUUUGUUUUAUGUAAAUGUAACAGCAUACGAAUGCUUUCCAUUUUUCUUUUCAUACGAAUGCUUUGUUCUUAUGUUUAUAUUUCUUCUCAUCAGUUUAUGAAGGGGAAAAGUUCUUUUACAAAGAAGAAGACAUUGCUAUUCCAGUAAAGGUGUUAGAUCAUUUUUCAUUUGCAGAUUUUUCCCUCGCAUGUUCCUUUUUUCCGCGGAAUUUGAAGAUCUGCAUUGUUCUCCAUUUUGAAAAUGUGACUGAUCUUUGUCUCUCCUCUGCCGUCGUCAUGCCUCUGUCUUCUAUGUUAGCAGGUUCAAUCUUUCUUUCCAAGAAAGCAUUGAUGAUAAUGAUGAUUCUGAUGAAGGGAAAGAUGAAGAUGAAAAGCCCUGUUUUUCUGAAAUAGAAAGAAGUGCUGAUUUUUUAGACAAGGAAGUUGCUGCUAAUGGCUUUCGGCUCAUCUUAUAGCCAAUGAUUACGCUACGGGAUGCGAUGAUUGGUGCCGUUCCAAGCUAUGAGGAGCCGUAUAUUAAAGUUCCAAAGGUCUUAAGUAUGGACUAAAAACUUUGUAAAGUUCAUUGAAGAUGGAGGAGAAGCUAAAAUAAACUCAGAUAGUAAAGUUAAUUCAGUGGAAGACCUGAAUGAAUCAAUCCUUCUUUAGGAUGAAAAACAUGAAAACAAAGGAAAAGAUGAGAGCUGUGAAGCUGCUGAAAGUGGUGCAUCUGAAAGGGAAGAUACAACUGACGAGGUGAAGAUGCUGAAAUUGAAAGAUGAACUAAGGUUAAGGUGCUCUGCAUGAAACUCUACCAUAAACAGAAGAUACAUGGCAUAGGAAAGAAGAAGAUGAAGAGUGCAAUUAGCAUAGUUAUAUAGUUAUGUUGUUCAUGAAUUAUUUUUACCUUGUUUUAGUUUAGAUUGUGGAUCAUAAAUUUGAUGUAUUUAGAAAUUUUUAAUUUUUUAAAUUCUAUAUUUCUAUGUAGACAUUGUGAAUGUUUUGGUAUUUAUUUGGAAAAUUAAUCUAUGCUUGAUUCUUUUUA
Non-coding RNA from Arachis ipaensis, 1344 nucleotides. The record is from RefSeq and is a predicted model, not a curated record. NCBI's taxonomy places the organism in Eukaryota, Viridiplantae, Streptophyta, Magnoliopsida, Fabales, Fabaceae.